RNAcentral lists this ribosomal RNA (500 nucleotides) under uncultured bacterium. Its description in RNAcentral is "bacterial SSU rRNA". It matches the Rfam family "Bacterial small subunit ribosomal RNA", at positions 900 to 1400 of the family's 1533-position model. The record is from RNAcentral.
CUCAAAGGAAUUGACGGGGGCCCGCACAAGCGGUGGAACAUGUGGUUUAAUUCGACGCAACGCGAAGAACCUUACCUGGCCUUGACAUGCUGAGAACUUUCCAGAGAUGGAUUGGUGCCUUCGGGAACUCAGACACAGGUGCUGCAUGGCCGUCGUCAGCUCGUGUCGUGAGAUGUUGGGUUAAGUCCCGUAACGAGCGCAACCCCUAUCCCUAGUUGCUAGCAGUUCGGCUGAGAACUCUAGGGAGACUGCCGGUGACAAACCGGAGGAAGGUGGGGAUGACGUCAGGUCAUCAUGGCCCUUACGGCCAGGGCUACACACGUGCUACAAUGGUGCGUAUAGAGGGUUGCAAACCCGCGAGGGGGAGCCAAUCUCACAAAACGCAUCGUAGUCCGGAUCGGAGUCUGCAACUCGACUCCGUGAAGUCGGAAUCGCUAGUAAUCGUGAAUCAGAAUGUCACGGUGAAUACGUUCCCGGGCCUUGUACACACCGCCCGUCAC